GGAUGGAGCAGUGGUAGCUCGUCGGGCUCAUAACCCGGAGGUCGGAGGUUCGAAUCCUUCUCCC
This 64-nucleotide transfer RNA is filed under the name Jeotgalicoccus nanhaiensis. It matches the Rfam family "tRNA", at positions 5 to 66 of the family's 71-position model. From Rfam's summary of the family: Transfer RNA (tRNA) molecules are approximately 80 nucleotides in length. Lineage: Bacteria; Bacillati; Bacillota; Bacilli; Caryophanales; Staphylococcaceae. RNAcentral also lists the same sequence under 1 other name. The record is from RNAcentral.